RNAcentral lists this ribosomal RNA (253 nucleotides) under uncultured bacterium. RNAcentral's name for it is "partial 16S ribosomal RNA". It matches the Rfam family "Bacterial small subunit ribosomal RNA", at positions 524 to 776 of the family's 1533-position model. The record is from RNAcentral.
UACGUAGGGGGCUAGCGUUGUCCGGAAUCAUUGGGCGUAAAGCGCGUGUAGGCGGUCCGGUAAGUCCGCUGUGAAAGUCGGGGGCUCAACCCUCGGAUGCCGGUGGAUACUGUCGGGCUUGAAUACGGAAGAGGCGAGUGGAAUUCCUGGUGUAGCGGUGAAAUGCGCAGAUAUCAGGAGGAACACCAAUUGCGAAGGCAGCUCGCUGGGACGUUACUGACGCUGAGACGCGAAAGCGUGGGGAGCAAACAGG